Molecule: ribosomal RNA, 119 nt
Filed under: Triticum aestivum (bread wheat)
Lineage: Eukaryota; Viridiplantae; Streptophyta; Magnoliopsida; Poales; Poaceae
Also listed under: 1 other name
Source: RNAcentral
GGAUGCGAUCAUACCAGCACUAAAGCAUCGGAUCCCAUCAAAACUCCGAAGUUAAGCGUGCGUGGGCGAGAGUAGUACUAGGAUGGGUGACCUCCUGGGAAGUCCUCGUGUUGCAUUCC